RNAcentral lists this long non-coding RNA (524 nucleotides) under Helianthus annuus (common sunflower). Its description in RNAcentral is "sRNA HanXRQr2_Chr04g0142211". Lineage: Eukaryota; Viridiplantae; Streptophyta; Magnoliopsida; Asterales; Asteraceae. The record is from RNAcentral.
GUGUCCGUGCUAGCCAAUCAAUGAAUGCUACUAUAGACGAAUAUUUGAAUUUUAUAUGUUUGUGUAUAGAAAGAAUCAUCAGAAAACUAAAAAACUUCAUAUUUAUAUAUAACUAGUUUUUAUUUUAAAAUCUGUGAAUUAUCCGCGAAUAUCAUGAGAUCUAGCAUACAUUGUCUUAACCGGUUAUACGCUAGAGAGCUCCCUCGUACAAUAGUUUCCCAAUUUUAAAUCCGUCAAUGAGAAACAACUAUCAUCCAGACUCGAACUUGAGACCAUGAGGGGAAAAUUCAUCCGGGUCCAUCAUAGGUCGAACUUAAAUACACACCGUAAUUUUGAGCUCGGGGCAAAAUCGUAAUUCUUCAGGACUAAAGACUAAUGAACAAGUGUUAAACACGAAAAUAAAUUAAAUCGAGUGUACCAAUUAAAACAUAUUUUUAUAGCUAGCAGACUUGCCUUGGUUGCAAAUAUUUGAAAAGCAUACUUUUAUAUAAAUUUACAAAUAAGUUGAAUAAUAAAUAUAUUGU